CGAGUGGCGAACGGGUGAGUAAUAUAUCGGAACGUACCCAAGAGUGGGGGAUAACGUAGCGAAAGUUACGCUAAUACCGCAUACGAUCUAAGGAUGAAAGCAGGGGAUCUUCGGACCUUGUGCUCCUGGAGCGGCCGAUAUCUGAUUAGCUAGUUGGUGAGGUAAAGGCUCACCAAGGCCACGAUCAGUAGCUGGUCUGAGAGGACGACCAGCCACACUGGAACUGAGACACGGUCCAGACUCCUACGGGAGGCAGCAGUGGGGAAUUUUGGACAAUGGGCGAAAGCCUGAUCCAGCAAUGCCGCGUGAGUGAAGAAGGCCUUCGGGUUGUAAAGCUCUUUUGUCAGGGAAGAAACGGUGAGGGCUAAUAUCCUUCGCUAAUGACGGUACCUGAAGAAUAAGCACCGGCUAACUACGUGCCAGCAGCCGCGGUAAUACGUAGGGUGCAAGCGUUAAUCGGAAUUACUGGGCGUAAAGCGUGCGCAGGCGGUUUUGUAAGUCUGACGUGAAAUCCCCGGGCUCAACCUGGGAAUUGCGUUGGAGACUGCAAGGCUAGAAUCUGGCAGAGGGGGGUAGAAUUCCACGUGUAGCAGUGAAAUGCGUAGAGAUGUGGAGGAACACCGAUGGCGAAGGCAGCCCCCUGGGUCAAGAUUGACGCUCAUGCACGAAAGCGUGGGGAGCAAACAGGAUUAGAUACCCUGGUAGUCCACGCCCUAAACGAUGUCUACUAGUUGUCGGGUUUUAAUUAACUUGGUAACGCAGCUAACGCGUGAAGUAGACCGCCUGGGGAGUACGGUCGCAAGAUUAAAACUCAAAGGAAUUGACGGGGACCCGCACAAGCGGUGGAUGAUGUGGAUUAAUUCGAUGCAACGCGAAAAACCUUACCUACCCUUGACAU
RNAcentral lists this small RNA (898 nucleotides) under Massilia aurea. RNAcentral's name for it is "bacterial SSU rRNA". It matches the Rfam family "Bacterial small subunit ribosomal RNA", at positions 92 to 987 of the family's 1533-position model. Lineage: Bacteria; Pseudomonadati; Pseudomonadota; Betaproteobacteria; Burkholderiales; Oxalobacteraceae. The record is from RNAcentral.